This 152-nucleotide non-coding RNA is filed under the name Drosophila ananassae. Its description in RNAcentral is "Eukaryotic large subunit ribosomal RNA". It matches the Rfam family "Eukaryotic large subunit ribosomal RNA", at positions 1 to 143 of the family's 3401-position model. The record is from Rfam by way of RNAcentral. Lineage: Eukaryota; Metazoa; Arthropoda; Insecta; Diptera; Drosophilidae.
CAACCUCAACUCAUAUGGGGACUACCCCCUGAAUUUAAAGCAUAUUAAUUAAGGGGAGGGAAAAGAAACUAACAAGGAAUUUCUUAUAAGCGGGCGAGCGAAAAGAAAUCAAUUUCAGCACUAAGUCACUUGUGCUUAAUGGCCAAAUGUGA